This 1470-nucleotide ribosomal RNA is filed under the name metagenome. Its description in RNAcentral is "bacterial SSU rRNA". It matches the Rfam family "Bacterial small subunit ribosomal RNA". The record is from RNAcentral.
AGAGUUUGAUCCUGGCUCAGGACGAACGCUGGCGGCACGCUUAACACAUGCAAGUCGAACGAGAGAAGAGGAGCUUGCUUUUCUGAUCUAGUGGCGGACGGGUGAGUAACACGUGAGCAAUCUGCCUUUCAGAGGGGGAUACCGAUUGGAAACGAUCGUUAAUACCGCAUAACAUAAUUGAACCGCAUGAUUUGAUUAUCAAAGAUUUAUCGCUGAAAGAUGAGCUCGCGUCUGAUUAGCUAGUUGGUAAGGUAACGGCUUACCAAGGCGACGAUCAGUAGCCGGACUGAGAGGUUGAUCGGCCACAUUGGGACUGAGACACGGCCCAGACUCCUACGGGAGGCAGCAGUGGGGAAUAUUGCACAAUGGAGGAAACUCUGAUGCAGCGAUGCCGCGUGAGGGAAGAAGGUUUUAGGAUUGUAAACCUCUGUCUUCAGGGACGAAAAAAGACGGUACCUGAGGAGGAAGCUCCGGCUAACUACGUGCCAGCAGCCGCGGUAAUACGUAGGGAGCGAGCGUUGUCCGGAAUUACUGGGUGUAAAGGGAGCGUAGGCGGGAUCGCAAGUCAGAUGUGAAAACUAUGGGCUUAACCCAUAAACCGCAUUUGAAACUGUGGUUCUUGAGUGAAGUAGAGGUAAGCGGAAUUCCUAGUGUAGCGGUGAAAUGCGUAGAUAUUAGGAGGAACAUCAGUGGCGAAGGCGGCUUACUGGGCUUUAACUGACGCUGAAGCUCGAAAGCGUGGGGAGCAAACAGGAUUAGAUACCCUGGUAGUCCACGCCGUAAACGAUGAUUACUAGGUGUGGGGGGACUGACCCCUUCCGUGCCGCAGCAAACGCAAUAAGUAAUCCACCUGGGGAGUACGACCGCAAGGUUGAAACUCAAAGGAAUUGACGGGGGCCCGCACAAGCAGUGGAGUAUGUGGAUUAAUUCGAAGCAACGCGAAGAACCUUACCAGGUCUUGACAUCGUAUGCAUAGCUCAGAGAUGAGUGAAAUCUCUUCGGAGACAUAUAGACAGGUGGUGCAUGGUUGUCGUCAGCUCGUGUCGUGAGAUGUUGGGUUAAGUCCCGCAACGAGCGCAACCCUUACUGUUAGUUGCUACGCAAGAGCACUCUAGCAGGACUGCCGUUGACAAAACGGAGGAAGGUGGGGAUGACGUCAAAUCAUCAUGCCCCUUAUGACCUGGGCCUCACACGUACUACAAUGGCUGUCAACAGAGGGAAGCAAAGCCGCGAGGUGGAGCGAACCCCUAAAAGCAGUCUUAGUUCGGAUUGUAGGCUGCAACCCGCCUACAUGAAGUCGGAAUUGCUAGUAAUCGCAGAUCAGCAUGCUGCGGUGAAUACGUUCCCGGGCCUUGUACACACCGCCCGUCACGCCAUGGGAGUCGGUAACACCCGAAGCCUGUAGUCUAACCGCAAGGAGGACGCAGUCGAAGGUGGGAUUGAUGACUGGGGUGAAGUCGUAACAAGGUA